GGGUUUAUUCAGUUUCCUGGGUUCUUGGGGUUUAUGGUAAUAAGAAGCUUUGUCUAAAAGUCUUAAUGGUUGUGGGGGAAGAACAAAGGAGAUGGAGAAAGACGAGUUUGUGCUUCUUCUUGAACUGAAGAGUUAUAGCUGCUAUAGUAGCUGGAAGUGAAAGAAAUUAGAUUUUGUACGGAAGACAAAAUUAGGGUUUUUAUUUUAUUUUUACCAAUUUCAAAAGUUAGCAGUACCUUUUUGUAUCUUGAAUAUUCUCGACGAUGAAGCUGUCAACAUCUGGAUUGGUUCAACAAAGUCAUGAAGGUUUUGUUUCAACUUCAGUCUCUGAUUUUUUCAUCCUUUUUUUGUUUU
Molecule: long non-coding RNA, 354 nt
Filed under: Brassica napus (rape)
Lineage: Eukaryota; Viridiplantae; Streptophyta; Magnoliopsida; Brassicales; Brassicaceae
Description: long non-coding RNA (BNAP_LNC003269)
Source: RNAcentral